AGCAGCCGCGGUAAUUCCAGCUCCAAUAGCGUAUAUUAAAGUUGUUGCAGUUAAAAAGCUCGUAGUUGAAUUUCGGGAUUGACACAUCGGUCGUGCCUUAAGGGGUAUGAACUGGUGUAGUCAAUUUCUCACCUUCUGGAGAACCACGAUGCCCUUAAUUGGGUGUCGCGGGGAACCAGGACCUUUACUUUGAAAAAUUAGAGUGUUUAAAGCAGGCAUUUUGCUUGAAUACAUUAGCAUGGAAUAAUAAAAUAGGACGGCAUGAUUCUAUUUUGUUGGUUUCUAGGAUCACCGUAAUGAUUAAUAGGGAUAGUUGGGGGCAUUAGUAUUCAAUUGUCAGAGGUGAAAUUCUUGGAUUUAUUGAAGACUAACUACUGCGAAAGCAUUUGCCAAGGAUGUUUUCAUUAAUCAAGAACGAAAGUUAGGGGAUCGACGACGAUCAGAUACCGU
This 450-nucleotide ribosomal RNA is filed under the name uncultured Entrophospora. RNAcentral's name for it is "SSU rRNA". It matches the Rfam family "Eukaryotic small subunit ribosomal RNA", at positions 569 to 1018 of the family's 1831-position model. The record is from RNAcentral. Lineage: Eukaryota; Fungi; Glomeromycota; Glomeromycetes; Entrophosporales; Entrophosporaceae.